This 536-nucleotide ribosomal RNA is filed under the name uncultured Tulasnellaceae. RNAcentral describes it as "eukaryotic LSU rRNA". The stretch from base 115 to 274 matches the Rfam family "5.8S ribosomal RNA". Lineage: Eukaryota; Fungi; Basidiomycota; Agaricomycetes; Cantharellales; Tulasnellaceae. The record is from RNAcentral.
CGCAAGCCCGUCUCGCAACCAUGCGUCGAAAGCGUCGUGUUAUCCCUCGCCGGACACACGUUAAAGAAGCGAAAUGCACGAAAUACGCCUCUCAGAACACAAACAAGAAAUCACAACCGGUAGCGUUGGAUCCCUUGGCACGUUGAUCGAUGAAGACCGUUGCAAACUGCGAUAAGUGGUGUGAUGCGCAAGUCUAAAACUUAUAAGUGAAUCAUCGAAUCGUUGAACGCACGACACCGGCUCUAUCCGAGCAGGUAUGCCCCUUUGAGCGCCAUUAUGCCUUCGGUCGCGUCCGGAACCUCGGUUCCGCGACGUCCGGGUUCGAGGUCCACCGUGCGUCCGCGCACGGCGUUCCUUCAGAUGCAUUGGAAGGGAAGAGGCCACGCCGGAACCCACCGUGUCAUGAGACAUGCACGGAAGGACCGCAGCGCCCGAUCCCGGGACGUGUCCGCAGAGAGACCGUCCGGCGAACGCACUUCGGGUGUGAAAACCUUUGAAUGUGGCCUCACCGGGGUAAGACUACCCGCUAGACUUAA